AACGAACGCUGGCGGCAUGCCUAACACAUGCAAGUCGAACGAGACCUUCGGGCCUAGUGGCGCACGGGUGCGUAACGCGUGGGAAUCUGCCCUUCGGUUGGGAAUAACUGAGAGAAAUUUCAGCUAAUACCUUAUAAUGUCUUCGGACCAAAGAUUUAUCGCCGAGGGAUGAGCCCGCGUAGGAUUAGGUAGUUGGUGGGGUAAUGGCCUACCAAGCCGACGAUCCUUAGCUGGUCUGAGAGGAUGAUCAGCCACACUGGGACUGAGACACGGCCCAGACUCCUACGGGAGGCAGCAGUGGGGAAUAUUGGACAAUGGGCGAAAGCCUGAUCCAGCAAUGCCGCGUGAGUGAUGAAGGCCUUAGGGUUGUAAAGCUCUUUUACCCGGGAUGAUAAUGACAGUACCGGGAGAAUAAGCUCCGGCUAACUCCGUG
Molecule: ribosomal RNA, 433 nt
Filed under: uncultured bacterium
Lineage: Bacteria
Description: partial 16S ribosomal RNA
Rfam family: Bacterial small subunit ribosomal RNA
Source: RNAcentral